AUGCCCAGUCGUAAAAUAUUAACUUACGCACAAAAACGCCCGGGAACUACGAGCUCUAGCUUAAAACCCAAAGGACUUGACGGUGUCCCACCCAACUAGAGGAGCCUGUCCUAUAAUCGAUGGUCCCCGAUAUACCCAACCUUUUCUUGCUCAUCAGUCUGUAUACCUCCGUCGCAAAUCUACCAUAUGAAUGAUAUAUAGUUCGGUUCAAUGAUCACUUCAUCAGAACGUCAGGUCAAGGUGCAACCUAUGAAAAGGCAAGUGAUGGGCUACAAUUUCUAACCUAGAACAAACGAAAUACUGCAUGAAACACAGGAACGAAGGAGGAUUUAGAAGUAAAGAGAAAAUAACGUGUUCUCUUUAACAUGGCCCUGGGACAUGUACACACCGCCCGUCGCCCUCUUCGAUACGAAUACUUCAGUUUUUAACCUAACAACAUAUGAGAGAAGAGGUAAGUCGUAACAUGGUAAGUGUACUGGAAAGUGCACUUGGAAUAA
This 497-nucleotide ribosomal RNA is filed under the name Fejervarya limnocharis (Boie's wart frog). Its description in RNAcentral is "partial 12S small subunit ribosomal RNA". It matches the Rfam family "Bacterial small subunit ribosomal RNA", at positions 792 to 1533 of the family's 1533-position model. The record is from RNAcentral. Lineage: Eukaryota; Metazoa; Chordata; Amphibia; Anura; Dicroglossidae.